This 67-nucleotide transfer RNA is filed under the name Margattea concava. RNAcentral's name for it is "tRNA-Cys". Lineage: Eukaryota; Metazoa; Arthropoda; Insecta; Blattodea; Pseudophyllodromiidae. The record is from RNAcentral.
GGUCUUAUAUUCAAGAAUGAUAAUAGAAUGCAAUUCUAUAGGGGUAAGAUAAAACUUACUAAGACUU